CAUUAUUCAAGAUGGCGGUCGAAGCGAGUUGUCCAAUCUUUGUAGUCGAUGCAUUCACCGACAAACCUUUUGGCGGGAAUCCAGCUGCUGUAUGUCUCGUGGGAUCAAGGGACUUUUUGGUGAUGGCAGUCAAGGGGUUAUGGAAUUUUUCUCAAUUAAAAAAAGCAAUUAGUGAUGACAUCUUGCAAAAAGUUGCAAAAGAAAUUAACUUAUUGGAAACAGUCUUUAUCCUGGAAAAAAAUGAACCUGACACAUAUUCAAAAGGUUCCUGUUUUGGUCUUCGUUGGUUUACCCCAGCAUGUGAAGUGCCUUUAUGUGGACAUGCAACUUUAGCCUCAGCAGCUGUUUUGUUUGACUCCAUAGGUAAUGCAAAUGCUGAAGUAACAUUUGAAACAUUAAGUGGGAAGUUAAUGGCAAGACAAGAAGGUUCAUUAAUUUGUUUAAACUUCCCUUUGAACAGCUGUGAACCAUUACCUAAAGAAGAAGCAAUGAAGAGAUUAAUUAAAGCAGUUGUAGGCGACCUUAGGGUGAAAGACGUUGAAUACUCUAAGACAACCAAGAAUCUUCUCUUGUGUUUGGAGCCUUCAUUGACAAGAGAAGAUCUGGAAAACCUCUCCCCAGACUUCCAGGCUAUGUUGUCUGCCCCCUUGACUGAACUUGUCUGUGGUGUGAUUGUAACCCUGCAGGGGACUAAGGUGAAUGGGUGUGUGAAUGGUAGCGGUGAGGUGUAUGACUUUGUUUCACGUUACUUUGCUCCUUGGGUUGGAGUAUCUGAGGACCCAGUAACCGGCUCAGCACAUACAGUUCUUGCUUGUUAUUGGUCACAAAGACUGAAAAAGAACGAUUUCCAUGCUCGUCAGUGUUCAUCGCGUGGUGGAGAACUGAGAAUUGAUGUCAGGGAAGACAACAGAGUUGACAUUGCUGGACAAGCAGUCUUAGUUCUUCAAGGAAGCUUACGCUUAUGACAGUUAGUCAUGCUGGACGUUAGAGAUUGCUGAGAAAGACCUUAUCAGUAUUUUUCCCCAAAGGUGAAAGAUACCAUUGUCAGAAAGCUGUUCAAAUUCAUCACUUGUGACAAACUUCUUCUGGUCCCUCACAACUUGAAGGUUGGAGAAAAGCUGUUGAAGUUCUAAUAACAGAAAUGAGUUGAUAAAUUGCUGUAACUGGCCCAAAGAAACAAUUUUUUGAGACAAUAACAACAAAAUGAAGUUUAAAACCAAGUUUCUCACCUUUCUUUUCUUUAGACGACAUAAAUAACAACACCAUAUCGAAUCGUUCAACAUGACUAAGCUCUUCCAGAAUGUGGCAAGCAAGUUUUUCUUCUCCUGUUACAAUAACAAAGUGAUCAUAGGAUAAGAUUAUGACUCCACUCCGACUAAGGUUUCAAUCCUCAAUUGUUCUUGAAUUAAAAAGCUAAAGUUUGUCUUUACCUUGUGGAACAAUUUCCUGGCUGAGGGCUGCUAUAAUGCUACUUAACAUUGGAGCAUCAAGUUUAUUACUGAGAAC
Non-coding RNA from Pocillopora verrucosa, 1506 nucleotides. The record is from RefSeq and is a predicted model, not a curated record. NCBI's taxonomy places the organism in Eukaryota, Metazoa, Cnidaria, Anthozoa, Scleractinia, Pocilloporidae.